This 809-nucleotide ribosomal RNA is filed under the name uncultured bacterium. Its description in RNAcentral is "bacterial SSU rRNA". It matches the Rfam family "Bacterial small subunit ribosomal RNA", at positions 8 to 812 of the family's 1533-position model. The record is from RNAcentral.
AGAGUUUGAUCCUGGCUCAGGAUGAACGCUGGCGGCGUGCUUAACACAUGCAAGUCGAACGGGGAUUAUUUUGACAGAGACUUCGGUUGAAGUCGUUAUAAUCCUAGUGGCGGACGGGUGAGUAACGCGUGGGUAACCUGCCUCACACUGGGGGAUAACAGUCAGAAAUGACUGCUAAUACCGCAUAAGCGCACGGGGCCCCAUGGUUCAGUGUGAAAAACUCCGGUGGUGUGAGAUGGACCCGCGUUGGAUUAGCCUGUUGGCAGGGUAACGGGCUACCAAAGCGACGAUCCAUAGCCGGCACUGAGAGGGUGGACGGCCACAUUGGGACUGAGACACGGUCCACACUCUUAUUGUAUGCAGCACUGGGGAAUAUUGCCACAAUGGGGGAAAACCCCUGAUGCAGCGACGCCGCGUGAAGGAAGAAGUAUCUCGGUAUGUAAACUUCUAUCAGCAGGGAAGAAAAUGACGGUACCUGACUAAGAAGCCCCGGCUAACUACGUGCCAGCAGCCGCGGUAAUACGUAGGGGGCAAGCGUUAUCCGGAUUUACUGGGUGUAAAGGGAGCGUAGACGGAGCAGCAAGUCUGAUGUGAAAGGCGGGGGCUCAACCCCUGGACUGCAUUGGAAACUGUUGAUCUUGAGUACCGGAGAGGUAAGCGGAAUUCCUAGUGUAGCGGUGAAAUGCGUAGAUAUUAGGAGGAACACCAGUGGCGAAGGCGGCUUACUGGACGGUAACUGACGUUGAGGCUCGAAAGCGUGGGGAGCAAACAGGAUUAGAUACCCUGGUAGUCCACGCCGUAAACGAUGA